Long non-coding RNA from Malania oleifera, 1278 nucleotides. RefSeq lists it as uncharacterized. The record is from RefSeq and is a predicted model, not a curated record. Lineage: Eukaryota; Viridiplantae; Streptophyta; Magnoliopsida; Santalales; Ximeniaceae. The transcript is spliced from 2 exons.
CUCUCUUUCUCUCUCCCUCUCUCUCUCUCUCUCUCCCAUGACUCCCUCCCCUUCUCUGUAGAAAUCCAGCCCCGUUCUUCAUUGGUUCGACGAUCUGAAGUUGCCGCGUCACUUGUGGGAAGAUUCUCUGUAUAUCUGCUGGAGUAAUUUGUUGGUUAAGCUCACUUGGGAACCAUCCCAAAAUUUGGGGUGUUGAGUUAGGGAACACACGAGCGUAAUUUUGGAGUAAAUUGUGGGCUUUUCCAUAAGUCAAGUAAGGAGAUAAACUAAGUCAAUUUUCUAAUAAAAAUAUAUUUAUUAUUUAACAGAAUUUAAUUUCAGGUAAAUAUGUAUAUUGCAGUAUUAUGUUGGAAAUAAUGUUGUUGAUCAGAAAUAUGGUUUUCAUGUAUAAUAUCAAAAAUAUGACUUUAGAACAGAUUUUAUAUACUAGAUAUUACCCCUUUUGUGUGGCAUGAAUAACAUUUACCAUGGAAACUAUGAUGAUGAAAUAUUAUGUUUUCAGAAUAAGCACGUUAUUACUAUUUUCAAGAAAAUGUCAAAAACGAUACAGAGAUUUUCAAACUAUGGAUUUGAUAUGAUAUGCCGGCGUAAGGGCCAUAGAUUUUAUAUGAUAUGUUGGUGUAAGGGCUGUAGAUUUUAUAUGAUAUGCCGGCGUAAGGGCCGUAGAUUUUAUAUGAUAUGUCGGCGUAAGGGCCGUAGAUUUUAUAUGCUAUGCUGACAUAAGGGCCGUGAAUUUUAUAUGAUAUGUUAUGCAAGGUUUUAUGAAAAUAUUAACAUGACAGAUAUUAUUAUGAAAUAGUAAUGUAUCAUUAUUUGGGAAUAUACUAUAUGUUAUCAGAACUUGGUUGGCUUGGUUUAGGCUUUCGCGAAGUACGAUACCGUAACUAUAUGAUCACAAUCAUUUAUAUGUUAGUGCUACCACUUGCUGUAAGGGGUAGUGGGAGAUCGGCAGUCGAUGUGAUUUUAUGAUAGUGUAGGCAUCCCUCUAGUGUCCGAACCAGAAGGGGCAGACCCAUCGUACUUACAGAAUUAUGUUGAUCUAGCGUGGUCGGCCAGCUAUUGCAAGGUCCCGCCUUCGAGCCGCACAACCCAGUCAUGUUGGGGUAGGACAUAAUACCAACCAGCUAACCAUCCAUGGUGUAUUUCAUGUACAGUUAUACGAGAUGAUUUUUAUGUAUAGAAACUCAGUAUGAUAUAUCAUGUUAUGAGAAAUUAUGUUUUUCCCAUAUAUGUUAUAGACAACUUUAAUAAAUAUGAUUUAUGUAUUGUUCUACGUAU